UACGUAGGGCGCAAGCGUUAUCCGGAAUUAUUGGGCGUAAAGAGCUCGUAGGCGGUUUGUCGCGUCUGCUGUGAAAGACCGGGGCUCAACUCCGGUUCUGCAGUGGGUACGGGCAGACUAGAGUGAUGUAGGGGAGACUGGAAUUCCUGGUGUAGCGGUGAAAUGCGCAGAUAUCAUGAGGAACACCGAUGGCGAAGGCAGGUCUCUGGGCAUUAACUGACGCUGAGGAGCGAAAGCAUGGGGAGCGAACAGG
RNAcentral lists this ribosomal RNA (253 nucleotides) under uncultured bacterium. RNAcentral describes it as "partial 16S ribosomal RNA". It matches the Rfam family "Bacterial small subunit ribosomal RNA", at positions 524 to 776 of the family's 1533-position model. The record is from RNAcentral.